RNAcentral lists this ribosomal RNA (458 nucleotides) under uncultured bacterium. RNAcentral describes it as "partial 16S ribosomal RNA". It matches the Rfam family "Bacterial small subunit ribosomal RNA", at positions 338 to 795 of the family's 1533-position model. The record is from RNAcentral.
CCUACGGGUGGCAGCAGUGAGGAAUAUUGGUCAAUGGGCGCGAGCCUGAACCAGCCAAGUCGCGUGAGGGAGUACUGACCUAUGGGUUGUAAACCUCUUUUGUCGGGGAGCAAAAGCCGGACGUUUCCGGCUGUGCGAGUACCCGAAGACAAAGCAUCGGCUAACUCCGUGCCAGCAGCCGCGGUAAUACUGAGGAUGCGAGCGUUAUCCGGAUUUAUUGGGUUUUAAGGGUGCGCAGGCGGAUUUUUAUGUUAGCGGUCAAAUCUUGGGGCUCAACCCCAUCCAGCCGUUGAAACUGGGGAUCUAGAGUGAGCGAGAGGUGUGUGGAAUGCGUGGUGUAGCGGUGAAAUGCAGAGAUAUCACGCAGAACCCCGAUUGCGAAGGCAGCAUACCGGUGCACAACUGACGCUCAGGCACGAAAGCGUGGGGAUCGAACAGGAUUAGAUACCCCAGUAGUC